CGGGGUAUAGCGCAGGCUGGUAGCGCGUCUGCAUGGGGUGCAGAAGGCCGCAGGUUCGAAUCCUGCUAUCCCGACCA
This 77-nucleotide transfer RNA is filed under the name Burkholderia multivorans. Its description in RNAcentral is "tRNA-Pro". It matches the Rfam family "tRNA". From Rfam's summary of the family: Transfer RNA (tRNA) molecules are approximately 80 nucleotides in length. Their secondary structure includes four short double-helical elements and three loops (D, anti-codon, and T loops). The record is from RNAcentral. Lineage: Bacteria; Pseudomonadati; Pseudomonadota; Betaproteobacteria; Burkholderiales; Burkholderiaceae.